GACGAACGCUGGCGGCGUGCUUAACACAUGCAAGUCGAACGGAAAGGCCCUGCUUUUGUGGGGUGCUCGAGUGGCGAACGGGUGAGUAACACGUGAGUAACCUGCCCUUGACUUUGUGAUAACUUCAGGAAACUGGGGCUAAUACCGGAUAGGAGCUCCUGCUGCAUGGUGGGGGUUGGAAAGUUUCGGCGGUUGGGGAUGGACUCGCGGCUUAUCAGCUUGUUUGUGGGGUAUUGGCUUACCAAGGCUUUGACGGGUAGCAGGCCUGAGAGGGUGACCGGCGACAUUGGGACUGAGAUACGGCCCAGACUGCAACGGGAGGCAGCAGUGGGGAAUAGUGCACAAUGGGCGGAAGCCUGAGGCAGCAACGCCGCGUGCGGGAUGACGGCCUUCGGGUUGUAAACAGAUUUGGACUGUGACGAAGAGUGAGUGACGGUAAUGGGUAAAGAAGCACCGGCUAACUACGUG
RNAcentral lists this ribosomal RNA (468 nucleotides) under uncultured bacterium. RNAcentral describes it as "partial 16S ribosomal RNA". It matches the Rfam family "Bacterial small subunit ribosomal RNA", at positions 28 to 507 of the family's 1533-position model. The record is from RNAcentral.